CUAAGAAUCUUGCGCAAUGGGCGAAAGCCUGACGCAGCAACGCCGCGUGGAGGACGAAGGCCUUCGGGUCGUAAACUCCUUUUGCGAGGGAAGAAGAUCUGACGGUACCUCGCGAAUAAGCCACGGCUAACUACGUGCCAGCAGCCGCGGUAAUACGUAGGUGGCAAGCGUUGUCCGGAUUUACUGGGCGUAAAGAGCCCGCAGGCGGUCCAAUAAGUUCUUGGUGAAAUCUCCUGGCUCAACUGGGAGGGUGCCUGGAAAACUGUUGGACUUGAGGCAGGGAGAGGGAUGUGGAAUUCCCGGUGUAGUGGUGAAAUGCGUAGAUAUCGGGAGGAACACCAGUGGCGAAGGCGGCAUCCUGGCCCUGUCCUGACGCUCAGGGGCGAAAGCGUGGUGAGCAAACCGGAUUAGAUACCCCCGUAGUCCCUGAGCGGGCUGGCAAGGCGCAU
This 449-nucleotide ribosomal RNA is filed under the name uncultured bacterium. RNAcentral describes it as "bacterial SSU rRNA". It matches the Rfam family "Bacterial small subunit ribosomal RNA", at positions 355 to 825 of the family's 1533-position model. The record is from RNAcentral.